RNAcentral lists this ribosomal RNA (440 nucleotides) under uncultured bacterium. RNAcentral's name for it is "partial 16S ribosomal RNA". It matches the Rfam family "Bacterial small subunit ribosomal RNA", at positions 338 to 795 of the family's 1533-position model. The record is from RNAcentral.
CCUACGGGGGGCAGCAGUGGGGGAUAUUGCACAAUGGGGGAAACCCUGAUGCAGCGACGCCGCGUGGGGGAAGACGGUCCUCUGGAUUGUAAACCACUGUCCCCAGGGACGAAAAUGACGGUACCUGGGGAGGAAGCUCCGGCUAACUACGGGCAAGCAGCCGCGGUAAUACGUAGGGAGCGAGCGUUGUCCGGAAUUACUGGGUGUAAGGGGAGCGUGGGCGGGGAUGCAAGUUGGGUGUAAAACCUACCGGCUCAACUGGUAGUCGCACUCAAAACUGCAGCUCUUGAGUGAAGUAGAGGCAGGCGGAAUUCCUAGUGUAGCGGUGAAAUGCGUAGAUAUUAGGAGGAACACCAGUGGCGAAGGCGGCCUGCUGGGCUUUUACUGACGCUGAGGCUCGAAAGUGUGGGGAGCAAACAGGAUUAGAUACCCCGGUAGUC